Molecule: ribosomal RNA, 467 nt
Filed under: uncultured bacterium
Lineage: Bacteria
Description: partial 16S ribosomal RNA
Rfam family: Bacterial small subunit ribosomal RNA
Source: RNAcentral
GACGAACGCUGGCGGCGUGCUUAACACAUGCAAGUCGAACGGAAAGGCCCUGCUUUUGUGGGGUGCUCGAGUGGCGAACGGGUGAGUAACACGUGAGUAACCUGCCCUUGACUUUGGGAUAACUUCAGGAAACUGGGGCUAAUACCGGAUAGGAGCUCCUGCUGCAUGGUGGGGGUUGGAAAGUUUCGGCGGUUGGGGAUGGACUCGCGGCUUAUCAGCUUGUUGGUGGGGUAGUGGCUUACCAAGGCUUUGACGGGUAGCCGGCCUGAGAGGGUGACCGGCCACAUGGGGACUGAGAUACGGCCCAGCCUCCUCCGGGGGGCAGCAGGGGGGAAUAUUGCAAAAUGGGCGGAAGCCGGAUGCAGCAACGCCGGGGGCGGGAUGACGGCCUUCGGGUUGUAAACCGCUUUCGCCUGUGACGAAGCGUGAGUGACGGUAAUGGGGAAAGAAGCCCCGGCAAACUACGG